CUUUCAAUUAUGUGGAGCCAGAAAAACAGUCCUGAGCCUCAGCCUCCUGAGUAGCUGGGACCACAGGUGUGUGCCACAUGCCUAGCUAAAUUUUUUUUUUUUUUUUUGAGACGGAGUCUCUCUAUGUCGCCAGGCUGGAUGCUGUUGCGGGAAGUCAGGGACCCUGAACAGAGGGACCAGCUGGAGCUGUGUCAGAGGAACAUAAAUUGUGAAGAUUUCAUUUUAAUAUGGACAUGUAUCGGUUCCCAAAAUUAAUACUUUUAUAAUUUCUUACGCCUGUCUUUACUGCAAUCUCUGAACAUAAGCUGUGAAGAUUUCACGGACAUUUAUCAGUUCCCGAAAUUAACACUUAUAAUUUCUCAUGCCUGUCUUUACUUUCCAGCCUGGGUGAAAGAGCAAGGUUCUGUCAAAAAAGGGAGGGGAGGGGAGGGGAGGGGAGGGGAGGGAAGAAAGAAAGAGCGGAGUGAAAUGUGAGUACCACAACGAGUAACAAGCAUUUCAGAUGAACCUGGGGCCCUGGUCCGCUUGCAGCCCAGGCGGUGCAGAGGUGAAGCGACGCUGAACCUUGGGAACCGGCUAGGAGCACCCUGAUUGGCUGCCUGACUUAGGGGGCAGGGUCAGCCAGAGCCAGGUCUUUGACAUCAGGGAAACAAAUCGACAUUUGGUCUUCCCUCCAUCCAGACCAACUGCCUCUGUCUCUCCUCUCAAGUCAGCUCCCACCCACACCUUCAAGAACCAAGUCAAUGCCACCUCCUCCUCCGUGAAGCCUCCGGAUUCACGCUUCCGGCUCUCAGAGCUCUGUUUUUCUUUGGUUUAUCAUUCCCUCUCCACAAGGGCUUUCCGCAGACUACGAGACCUACAGACCCGAAUACACACAUGACUCACUUUGUAUCUCGGUGUCCAGCACUGCUGCUAGACCAAAGGUGAUCAUCAACUUUAACUGAAAGGAAAAAAUAUAGGUGAAUGCAUAUGCAUAUUGCCAUACAUUUUAAUUUGGAGAAUGUUACUUUAGAAU
Molecule: long non-coding RNA, 1015 nt
Filed under: Homo sapiens (human)
Lineage: Eukaryota; Metazoa; Chordata; Mammalia; Primates; Hominidae
Description: non-protein coding lnc-OR1F1-1:6
Source: RNAcentral